UACGUAGGGUGCAAGCGUUGUUCGGAAUUACUGGGCGUAAAGCGCGCGUAGGCGGGUCUGUAAGUCGAUUGUGAAAGCCCUGGGCUUAACCCGGGAAUUGCAGUCGAUACUGCAGAUCUUGAAUGCCUGAGAGGAUGGCGGAAUUCCCGGUGUAGAAGUGAAAUUCGUAGAUAUCGGGAAGAACACCUGAGGCGAAGGCGGCUAUCUGGCGGUGCAUUGACGCUGAUGCGCGAAAGCGUGGGGAGCAAACAGG
This 253-nucleotide unclassified non-coding RNA is filed under the name uncultured Oligoflexaceae bacterium. RNAcentral's name for it is "contains 16S-23S intergenic spacer region". It matches the Rfam family "Bacterial small subunit ribosomal RNA", at positions 524 to 776 of the family's 1533-position model. Lineage: Bacteria; Pseudomonadati; Bdellovibrionota; Oligoflexia; Oligoflexales; Oligoflexaceae. The record is from RNAcentral.